This 406-nucleotide ribosomal RNA is filed under the name uncultured bacterium. Its description in RNAcentral is "bacterial SSU rRNA". It matches the Rfam family "Bacterial small subunit ribosomal RNA", at positions 28 to 424 of the family's 1533-position model. The record is from RNAcentral.
GACGAACGCUGGCGGCGUGCUUAACACAUGCAAGUCGAGCGAGGUCCAUCCAGUGGCAACACUGGUGAAGACCUAGCGGCGAACGGGUGAGUAACACGUGAGCAAUCUGCCCCGAAGACUGGGAUAACACCGGGAAACCGGUGCUAAUACCGGAUGUCCUCCUCUGGUCGCAUGGCCUAGGGAGGAAAUGGAUUCCGCUUCGGGAGGAGCUCGCGGGCUAUCAGCUUGUUGGUGAGGUAACGGCUCACCAAGGCGACGACGGCUAGCUGGGUCUGAGAGGACGACCAGCCACACUGGGACUGAGACACGGGCCCAGACUCCUACGGGAGGCAGCAGUGGGGAAUCUUGCGCAAUGGGCGAAAGCCUGACGCAGCAACGCCGCGUGGGGGAUGAAUGCCUUCGGGUU